AACCAUAGAAACCUGCGGAGUACCUGCGGAAGGAUCAUUACAGAGUGUGACCCCCUGUAAAAAGGGGGGUACCUCCCGUCCUUUGCAGGCCCUUUAGGGUCUUUUACACUUUGCUUCGGUGGGGUAACCCACCGGAACACCCUCAAAAAUUCUGAUUUUAAAAUUGUUCAGUCUGAGAAUUUUGAAAAUAAAAUAAAAACUUUCAACAAUGGAUCU
This 216-nucleotide unclassified non-coding RNA is filed under the name soil metagenome. Its description in RNAcentral is "partial contains 5.8S ribosomal RNA, internal transcribed spacer 2, and large subunit ribosomal RNA". The record is from RNAcentral.